Molecule: ribosomal RNA, 757 nt
Filed under: uncultured Morganella
Lineage: Eukaryota; Fungi; Basidiomycota; Agaricomycetes; Agaricales; Lycoperdaceae
Description: partial 28S ribosomal RNA
Rfam family: Eukaryotic large subunit ribosomal RNA
Source: RNAcentral
GAAUCCCGUCUUUGAUACGGACUACCAGGGCUUUGUGAUGCGCUCUCGAAGAGUCGAGUUGUUUGGGAAUGCAGCUCAAAAUGGGUGGUAAAUUCCAUCUAAAGCUAAAUAUUGGCGAGAGACCGAUAGCGAACAAGUACCGUGAGGGAAAGAUGAAAAGAACUUUGGAAAGAGAGUUAAACAGUACGUGAAAUUGCUGAAAGGGAAACGCUUGAAGUCAGUCGCGUUGACUAGAACUCAGCUUCACUUUUGUGGGGUGUACUUUUUAGUUGACGGGUCAGCAUCAAUUCUGACUGCUGGAAAAAGGCUUAGGGAAUGUGGCAGCUCCGGCUGUGUUAUAGCCCUUUGUCACAUACAGCUGUUGGGAUUGAGGAACUCAGCACGCCGCAAGGCCGGGUUUCGACCACGUUCGUGCUUAGGAUGCUGGCAUAAUGGCUUUAAGCGACCCGUCUUGAAACACGGACCAAGGAGUCUAACAUGCCUGCGAGUGUUUGGGUGGUAAACCCGAGCGCGUAAUGAAAGUGAAAGUUGAGAUCCCUGUCGUGGGGAGCAUCGACGCCCGGACCUGACCUUUUGUGACGGAUCCGCGGUAGAGCAUGUAUGUUGGGACCCGAAAGAUGGUGAACUAUGCCUGAAUAGGGUGAAGCCAGAGGAAACUCUGGUGGAGGCUCGUAGCGAUUCUGACGUGCAAAUCGAUCGUCAAAUUUGGGUAUAGGGGCGAAAGACUAAUCGAACCAUCUAGUAGCUGGUUCCUGCC